UCCGCCAUGCCCGGUGAGCUCCAAGAUCUCGAACCGCUCGUCUCCAACCCGUGCGCCCUGCAUGCUCCUGGUCAUUCCAGGGUGCCAUUGAGCCCCUCAUAUGGCAUCCCCGUGCCUGUAUCCUCGCCUGUUUCGGAGCCCAAGCUGCGACGCCGUCGUAGCUCGUCGCUGGUGCUUCUUUGACCACCGCUCGACCUAUGGUUGGGUCUAGUGGAUGCACGCGGGGGAGAGGUUCUCCCUGGUGCGCUCAGUGCGUCAAGCUGCUGCCUGCAGCACCACUCCGGCCGGAUACCGUCAUGUUCCAUUGUCGCCGACGGCUAACCGGCGGUGGCUGACGUGCCGCCUCAUUAUGGUUUAAUUUUCCCCGCUAAUUAACCCCCGCAGAGGCUUAUACUUGGUCCUACAGCUGGUCAAAGCAGGGUCAACCGGGGACUAAUCCCUGGUUUGCCUAUGUGUCACUGAUGUGUGGAUCCCACACGUCACGUUUGACCUGGACCGCCCGUGCCGAUGUAGCGUGACUUACUGAUGACGCAGUAAUCCAUUUGUGGAUUUAUUGAAUCCCAAAAAAUACCUUAAACUUCUAAAAUGCAUAGAAAUUAAUCUAUAACUCACAUCAAAAUAAAUUAUAUAUGAAAAAUUAUCGAAAAAAUGCAAGGAAUCUGUUUAUGCCAUGUUCAUGCAUGUUUAAACAAGUUAACAUCACCAAGUAGGCCAUUUCAUGAUUAGGACCAAUUUGAUAAAUAUUUUGGAGUUGGAAUUAAUGUCUAAUUGAAUUCCACUUCAGUUAAUAUGACCAAAUAUUAAGCUAGGUGAUUUCAGUACCUUAGCAUGCCAUAUCAUACAUCAUGUUCGGUGCAUUGCAUUGGAUGUGUUCUUUUCUUCUUUUGUCGGUGUUGUUCCUUCUCGGUAGACAAUUGUUCCAAUGAUGUGAUCGUUGACAUUAAUGAAGAGAAGUACUAUCUUCGGAACUGUUAGGCAAGCAAUCCCCCUUGAGCAUUCCAAUACAAUCCUACUCUCUCGCUCCUGCUCUCUUUUAUUGCAUUAGCACAAUCACGAUUCAAGUGUUACAUGUUCUGAGUAGUUGAAUCCAUUCCUCUGCAUGACCUGUUUUGCCACAGUAAAUAGUUGAAACCACUUAGCAUGAGUAGCAACUUCUUGAGCCUUCAUGUGGCUACUCAUCCAUGCUUCCUGCUAUGCCUGCUAUGCUUAGAGUCGUGUCGGGUCUAAUCCAUCUGAGUGAUGAACCGGAAUGGCUGUGUUCAUGUCCUAAUGUGUGAGAGUAAAGUGUGUGAAUCCCAUUUCGUAAAGGUAGUGAUGAUAGGCCAUGUAAGAGUACAUGGCAGGUUGUCUCAUUGGGACCGCCCUUAAGAACUGAGUUAUGUGUAUGUUAUCCAAGACAAGAUACUACCACACAUUGGGAUACUUAAUUGACCCUCUCGGCUUAUUAAUCGCCUAGAUCUCUGUCCAGGAGUUGCAACUAGUUUCUGGUGUUUGUAGGAAAAGUGUUGGAGGCCGUGUUUAGCUCUACCCGACGGGGUAGGCUUCAGUGCGGUAGAUACACAGUGGCACGGUGUACCAAGUGGCACCCGGGCGGUGGGCUGGUGGAACCCUACGCACAUCGUUUGAGGUUAUAGAGGAAACUUCGGCUAGACUUCCUUGCGGGUUCAGUCUCAAAUAGGUGAUAAACCUUGACUAGGGUCUUUGUGGUUAACGGUCGUGGCCGACACCCAAACUAGUGCUUCUGCUUGAAGGUUGCCGAGAUGCAUGACGUGCAUAUGGUGAUAAGUGGUGAGAGCGUGUGUGAAGAAGUAUACACUUCCUAGGUGAAUUAAUCUAUUUGAAUAGCCGCGUCAUCGGAUAUGGACUACUUGGAAAGAUUACAUGGUACAUAGAUAACUUGAAAUGGAUACUCUAAAACAUGCUAGAUAAGUGUGAGUGCUAUGGAUGGCCUUCUCGUAGGGAGACGAGAGUGGAUCCAUAGUGGUGUAUUGAUUUGGUGAAUAUGUGGACUCGUGUGCGCUACCCAUCUCAAAGAAAGUGUUCGUGGUCAUAGUAGAGGUUAGCCAAGUGUCAAAGUUGGAUUGCCGCAAUUAAACUCCACAACCCCUUCAUUGAUACUGAUGCAUAUGUAGAUAGUUCUGAUGUAAGUCUUGCUGAGUACCUUUGUACUCACGGUUGCUUAAUUUAUGUUUUGCAGCGGAGACCUUAAUCUCACUACAUGUUUCUAUGUGAUGAGUUUGACAUUGACCGGAAUAGCUUGGGAAUCCCAGAUAGAGGUCUGGCACCUUUGGUAGGGUCAUUGUAGCUUUUCAGGCUCUUCCAGCUGUUUUUAGUAGAUGUCUGUACCCAGACAUGUAACUUCCCGUUGAUGUUUGUAUGCUCUGAAUGUUGGGUCAUGUGACCCCCUCUGUUUGUACCAUUAUACGAUGUUAGCUCUUCGGAGCCUUCUAAAUAAAUGAUAUGUUGUAGAGUUAUCUUGUGAUGCCAUGUUGGAUCUACACAUAUCGUGCAUAUUGCAUGUAUAUUUGAAAUGCAUUGAUAUGUGUGGGAUUCAACACCUAGUUGUGUGCCUUUAGUAGUACUCUUUACGGGGAAAUGCCUCUUUGUGCUUCCACCGAGCCUUGAUAGCUUGCUACUGCUCCGGACACAUUGAUUGACCGACUUGUAUCCUUAUUUUCUACCGUGUCUAUCCCCUCGGGGAAAUGUUACAUGGUGUAAUGGAGUCCCUGUAGCUUGCUACGACUCGUCU
Molecule: long non-coding RNA, 2749 nt
Filed under: Hordeum vulgare
Lineage: Eukaryota; Viridiplantae; Streptophyta; Magnoliopsida; Poales; Poaceae
Description: long non-coding RNA (HVUL_LNC010621)
Source: RNAcentral